RNAcentral lists this ribosomal RNA (253 nucleotides) under uncultured Eubacteriales bacterium. Its description in RNAcentral is "uncultured Clostridiales bacterium partial 16S ribosomal RNA". It matches the Rfam family "Bacterial small subunit ribosomal RNA", at positions 524 to 776 of the family's 1533-position model. Lineage: Bacteria; Bacillati; Bacillota; Clostridia; Eubacteriales. The record is from RNAcentral.
UACGUAGGGGGCAAGCGUUAUCCGGAUUUACUGGGUGUAAAGGGAGCGUAGACGGCAAGGCAAGCCAGAAGUGAAAGGGCAGGGCUCAACCCUGUACAUGCUUUUGGAACUGUGGUGCUAGAGUGCAGGAGAGGUAAGUGGAAUUCCUAGUGUAGCGGUGAAAUGCGUAGAUAUUAGGAGGAACACCAGUGGCGAAGGCGAUUUGCUGGACCAUCACUGACGCUGAGGUACGAAAGCGUGGGGAGCAAAUAGG